Molecule: ribosomal RNA, 648 nt
Filed under: Escherichia coli
Lineage: Bacteria; Pseudomonadati; Pseudomonadota; Gammaproteobacteria; Enterobacterales; Enterobacteriaceae
Description: partial 23S ribosomal RNA
Rfam family: Bacterial large subunit ribosomal RNA
Source: RNAcentral
CCUUUUGUAUAAUGGGUCAGCGACUUAUAUUCUGUAGCAAGGUUAACCGAAUAGGGGAGCCGAAGGGAAACCGAGUCUUAACUGGGCGUUAAGUUGCAGGGUAUAGACCCGAAACCCGGUGAUCUAGCCAUGGGCAGGUUGAAGGUUGGGUAACACUAACUGGAGGACCGAACCGACUAAUGUUGAAAAAUUAGCGGAUGACUUGUGGCUGGGGGUGAAAGGCCAAUCAAACCGGGAGAUAGCUGGUUCUCCCCGAAAGCUAUUUAGGUAGCGCCUCGUGAAUUCAUCUCCGGGGGUAGAGCACUGUUUCGGCAAGGGGGUCAUCCCGACUUACCAACCCGAUGCAAACUGCGAAUACCGGAGAAUGUUAUCACGGGAGACACACGGCGGGUGCUAACGUCCGUCGUGAAGAGGGAAACAACCCAGACCGCCAGCUAAGGUCCCAAAGUCAUGGUUAAGUGGGAAACGAUGUGGGAAGGCCCAGACAGCCAGGAUGUUGGCUUAGAAGCAGCCAUCAUUUAAAGAAAGCGUAAUAGCUCACUGGUCGAGUCGGCCUGCGCGGAAGAUGUAACGGGGCUAAACCAUGCACCGAAGCUGCGGCAGCGACGCUUAUGCGUUGUUGGGUAGGGGAGCGUUCUGUAAGCCUGC